GAGCGUCAUAAAAAACGAAUUGAAAUGGUUCGUGAGGCUGCCAAAAAAACAAGAACGAGUAAUGGGAUUUUAGCAGACUUACAAGGACCAAAAAUUCGUAUAUCAAGUUUUAAGC
Molecule: microRNA precursor, 115 nt
Filed under: Rhipicephalus microplus (southern cattle tick)
Lineage: Eukaryota; Metazoa; Arthropoda; Arachnida; Ixodida; Ixodidae
Description: microRNA rmi-mir-5327 precursor
Source: miRBase by way of RNAcentral